UUAAAGAGUGCGUAACAGCUCACUGGUCGAGCGACAGAGCAUCGAUAAUAAUCGGGCAUCAAGUAUAGUACCGAAGCUUAGGAUGUAUUUAUACAUGGUAGGGGAGCAUUCUCUGGGCGGCGAAGGUAAACUGUAAGGUUUUCUGGAGCGCAGAGAAGUGCAAAUGUAGGCAUAAGUAACGAUAAUGCGGGUGAGAAACCCGCACACCGAUAGACUAAGGUUUCCCCGGCAAUGCUAAUCAGCCGGGGGUUAGUCAGGACCUAAGGCGAACCCGAAAGG
RNAcentral lists this ribosomal RNA (279 nucleotides) under Scyphosphaera apsteinii. RNAcentral's name for it is "partial Bacterial large subunit ribosomal RNA". It matches the Rfam family "Bacterial large subunit ribosomal RNA", at positions 1123 to 1409 of the family's 2925-position model. Lineage: Eukaryota; Haptophyta; Coccosphaerales; Pontosphaeraceae. The record is from RNAcentral.